RNAcentral lists this ribosomal RNA (355 nucleotides) under uncultured Eubacteriales bacterium. Its description in RNAcentral is "bacterial SSU rRNA". It matches the Rfam family "Bacterial small subunit ribosomal RNA", at positions 1 to 339 of the family's 1533-position model. The record is from RNAcentral. Lineage: Bacteria; Bacillati; Bacillota; Clostridia; Eubacteriales.
AGUAGUUUGAUCCGUGGCUCGAGGACGAACGCUGGCGGCGUGCUUAACACAUGCAAGUCGAGCGGGGAUAAUGGAACUGAAAGCUUCGGCCGGAAGAUCUGUUAUUCCAGCGGCGGACGGGUGAGUAACGCGUGAGCAAUCUGUCCCAGACAGGGGGAUAACACUUGGAAACAGGUGCUAAUACCGCAUAAGACCACGUCCUCACAUGGGGAUGAGGUAAAAGGAGCGAUCCGGUUUGGGGUGAGCUCGCGUCCGAUUAGCUAGUUGGCGAGGUAACGGCCCACCAAGGCGACGAUCGGUAGCCGGCCUGAGAGGGUGAACGGCCACAUUGGGACUGAGACACGGCCCAAACUCC